GUAAAAAACAAUCAUCCAAUUAAUUACUUCAUUACUGCCUUAAUUGCUAUGGAUAGCAUAGAUCCACUUUCAACCACUUCGUCCCCCCGCGUUUACCGGGAGUUUUUAUGAAUUUCUUAUUGUAGAAGUACAACUUCGCCCAUAGAUAGACACACAGCUCAUGAUCCCAGCUCACCUCAUGAGUCAUGACUGAUGAGUAGCAGUAGCAUCAAAGAUAUAAAAUGCAAGUUAAAAAAGGCAAAAAGCGAUGUGCCCUUUUUCUUGGCCAUCCCCUGAGAUUCAUGGGCUGUUCCUACUCUUUAUUAGCAAAAGAAAAAAACAGAAGCAAAUAAAUGCACUCCCUUACCAGCAUGGAAUUUUUUGCUCAUAGCAUAAAGUCAAGUACAGCAUCCAAGCUGUUUAAUUCUAGUACCAAGCUGGAAAACUUGUCUCAUGUGUAGUAUAUACACCACCAGCACAGCUCCAGUUG
Molecule: small RNA, 469 nt
Filed under: Oryza sativa Japonica Group (Japanese rice)
Lineage: Eukaryota; Viridiplantae; Streptophyta; Magnoliopsida; Poales; Poaceae
Description: sRNA Os02g0626200
Source: RNAcentral